Molecule: long non-coding RNA, 502 nt
Filed under: Bos taurus (domestic cattle)
Lineage: Eukaryota; Metazoa; Chordata; Mammalia; Artiodactyla; Bovidae
Description: long non-coding RNA NONBTAT001902
Source: RNAcentral
CUUACCUAACAGACAGCCCUUUUUUGAGGGGAUCAAAAAGAGCAGGAAAGAAAGGAGUUCAUAAAGGAAAAAAGUAAAUAAAAGACAAACUGCCUCAAAGUCAAACUCUGGAAUUCCUGUGCAUUGGUUGACUCUCAAAGGAAAAAUUGCUCCCAGGAAUAUUUUGUUGCGUUGCUGCCAAAUUUGGACUCUUCGGAUUUUUGUUCUAAGUCAGUCCCCAUCUAUUGGGUGUGCAAGUAAGCAGCCUCCCCUUAUGAGAAUGAUUCCACUGAGGAUGAAGAUGGAACAACUGGGGCAAGAUAGCAACUUGAAAUCAAGAGCAGGAUGUUGCUUGAAGGGAUAAAUUUUGACUCCUUGAACAUGCGGUAUUAGGUAUCACCUAGGUAGAGAUUAUUAAUAUGCCCUCCUAUUAGUGCUCUUCCCUGCAGGGUUAUGAUUAUUAAUGAUUGUGAACUUCUUUGUCUAUUUCCCUCCACUAGACCGGGAAGCAAAUGACCAGAAA